This 158-nucleotide non-coding RNA is filed under the name Rhizobium sp. Its description in RNAcentral is "6S RNA". It matches the Rfam family "6S / SsrS RNA". Rfam says of the family: E. coli 6S RNA was the first non coding RNA to be sequenced, but its function was unknown until recently. It consists of 184 nucleotides that fold into an extended hairpin structure with a large single-stranded internal bulge. The record is from RNAcentral. RNAcentral also lists the same sequence under 1 other name. Lineage: Bacteria; Pseudomonadati; Pseudomonadota; Alphaproteobacteria; Hyphomicrobiales; Rhizobiaceae.
UGCGAUCUGCGCCUCACGACAGGAAACACAAUCCCUGGGGCCAUACUCGAUCCAAAGGGAGCUGUCCCUGGCCGGGCCCGUGGGCCUGGACAUAUGGCGCCCACCUACGUUUGUAGGCACCCAGGAUCGUACAAAACCAUCGGCUGCGUGGAUCGCGC